UGUUCUACACGAACGAAGAAUAGCUAAAAACAAAACAACAAAAACAAACCUGCUCUAUAUACAUAGUAAAAGAGGCUAUAAAAUAAAUAUAUACAAAAAAGUGUGUUUAUAUUUUGAUUUAAAUAAAAACUGAAAGUAUUAGAAAGAUAUAUAGAAAAGAAAAUGAAAGGAAAAGAUGCUUACAUUCAUUCUCAAAUAUUCAUUUUGAAAAAGAGGGAACUCUCCACUUACCGAUGACCGAAAUGCAUUUCUCGUUCACGACACCGCUGGGCAGCAGAUGAAAGUCGAAUUCGGUGCCGUUGGCAACCACAGUGUGUCCAGCAUUAUUACCGCCCUGUG
Long non-coding RNA from Drosophila sulfurigaster albostrigata, 339 nucleotides. RefSeq lists it as uncharacterized. The transcript is spliced from 2 exons. NCBI's taxonomy places the organism in Eukaryota, Metazoa, Arthropoda, Insecta, Diptera, Drosophilidae. The record is from RefSeq and is a predicted model, not a curated record.